This 520-nucleotide ribosomal RNA is filed under the name uncultured archaeon. RNAcentral's name for it is "bacterial SSU rRNA". It matches the Rfam family "Archaeal small subunit ribosomal RNA", at positions 459 to 999 of the family's 1478-position model. The record is from RNAcentral.
CAGCCGCCGCGGUAACACCGGCGGCUCGAGUGGUAACCGUUAUUAUUGGGUCUAAAGGGUCUGUAGCCGGCCGGAUAAGUCUCUUGGGAAAUCUGGCAGCUCAACUGUCAGGCUUGGAACCGGGAGAGGUAAGAGGUACUACAGGGGUAGGAGUGAAAUCUUGUAAUCCCUGUGAGACCACCUGUGGCGAAGGCGUCUUACCAGAACGGGUUCGACGGUGAGGGACGAAAGCUGGGGGCACGAACCGGAUUAGAUACCCGGGUAGUCCCAGCCGUAAACUAUGCUCGCUAGGUGUCAGGCAUGGCGCGACCGUGUCUGGUGCCGCAGGGAAGCCGUGAAGCGAGCCACCUGGGAAGUACGGCCGCAAGGCUGAAACUUAAAGGAAUUGGCGGGGGAGCACAACAACGGGUGGAGCCUGCGGUUUAAUUGGACUCAACGCCGGACAACUCACCGGGGACGACAGCAAUAUGUAGGCCAGGCUGAAGACCUUGCCUGAAUCGCUGAGAGGUGGUGCAUGGCC